Hypanus sabinus (Atlantic stingray) is the source of this 469-nucleotide long non-coding RNA. RefSeq lists it as uncharacterized. NCBI's taxonomy places the organism in Eukaryota, Metazoa, Chordata, Chondrichthyes, Myliobatiformes, Dasyatidae. The transcript has 3 exons. The record is from RefSeq and is a predicted model, not a curated record.
UACAAGCUGUCACUCAAGAAUGUCAAAGUUUGACCAACCUGAAACAUGAUUCCAACCUGGUGGAAUUGAACUGUGUCACUGCAGUUUCCAGUGGUCACAAUGAAGGCCUUUAUCAUCCUUCACUGUUUUCUAGCAGCAAAACACAAGGACAAGGAAUUUUUGAAUCCAUAAAUCUCUGCAAGGAAUUUAAUGGUCAUGUUCAAAGUAGACUUGGCCCCCAGGAGAAGAGUAAAUUCUUGUGGACUAUUGCAUGCUAUCAAAAUUAAAAUGAUCCAGAAUUGCCAAUUGGGAAUCAUCCAAGAAGUCAAACUGGACUAAUACCAACGCUAUCAAAUUGCUGUUAUUGCAAUGUUGGAGGAAUACACAGUAAGGAAACAUGAUGCAAAACAUGUAGUUGACUGCACCUGUACCAUAAGAAGAGGCAUCACAAGCAAGCUUCACUGCAUGAUGUGGAUCAUAAUGAGUGAGU